This is a transfer RNA of Ferroglobus placidus DSM 10642, 74 nucleotides long. It matches the Rfam family "tRNA". Rfam says of the family: Transfer RNA (tRNA) molecules are approximately 80 nucleotides in length. Their secondary structure includes four short double-helical elements and three loops (D, anti-codon, and T loops). Further hydrogen bonds mediate the characteristic L-shaped molecular structure. tRNAs have two regions of fundamental functional importance: the anti-codon, which is responsible for specific mRNA codon recognition, and the 3' end, to which the tRNAs corresponding amino acid is attached (by aminoacyl-tRNA synthetases). tRNAs cope with the degeneracy of the genetic code in two manners: having more than one tRNA (with a specific anti-codon) for a particular amino acid; and 'wobble' base-pairing, i.e. permitting non-standard base-pairing at the 3rd anti-codon position. Lineage: Archaea; Methanobacteriati; Methanobacteriota; Archaeoglobi; Archaeoglobales; Archaeoglobaceae. The record is from Rfam.
GCCGAGGUGGCCUAGCUGGUCGGGGCGACGGACUCAUAAUCCGUAGGUCGCGGGUUCGAAUCCCGCCCUCGGCA